RNAcentral lists this ribosomal RNA (482 nucleotides) under uncultured bacterium. RNAcentral's name for it is "bacterial SSU rRNA". It matches the Rfam family "Bacterial small subunit ribosomal RNA", at positions 28 to 507 of the family's 1533-position model. The record is from RNAcentral.
GACGAACGCUGGCGGCGUGCCUAACACAUGCAAGUCGAACGGAGCUUUAAUAACAGAAUCUUUCGGGAGGAAGUUGCUAAAGCUUAGUGGCGGACGGGUGAGUAACGCGUGAGUAACCUGCCCUUGAGAGGGGAAUAACAUUCUGAAAAGGAUGCUAAUACCGCAUAACAUAUCAUUGUCGCAUGGCAGAGAUAUCAAAGAUUUAUCGCUCAGGGAUGGACUCGCGUCCGAUUGGCCGGUUGGCGGGGUAACGGCCCACCAAAGCAACGAUCGGUAGCCGGACUGAGAGGUUGAACGGCCACAUUGGGACUGAGACACGGCCCAGACUCCUACGGGAGGCAGCAGUGGGGGAUAUUGCGCAAUGGGGGCAACCCUGACGCAGCAACGCCGCAUGAAUGAAGAAGGUCUUCGGAUUGUAAAGUUCUUUUAUUAAGGACGAAGAGAUGACGGUACUUAAUGAAUAAGCUCCGGCUAACUACGUG